This is a long non-coding RNA of Acipenser ruthenus (sterlet), 173 nucleotides long. RefSeq lists it as uncharacterized. The record is from RefSeq and is a predicted model, not a curated record. The transcript is spliced from 4 exons. Lineage: Eukaryota; Metazoa; Chordata; Actinopteri; Acipenseriformes; Acipenseridae.
UACAGAAGCAGAACCCUCAAGCCUCCCCUCCACUCUGAUCUCUCAAGAUCCAAACCCCUCUGACCUGCCUUCUACACCAGCCUCUAAAGAUCCCAAACCUUCAAGGCCUCCUUCAACACCAGUCACUAGAGAUCCAAACCCCUCUGACCUGCCUUCUACACCAGCCUCUAAAG